AGCAGUCUCGUCAAAUUCAGUACUGCCUGCUUCCUGGCAACUACUGGCCCAAAUGGCUGCCACAUAAACCAUGGAUCAUGGGCCCCACUUUCAUAUUCCUUUGGGAUUUGGGGAUAAAUGAAUCCAUAACAGCG
Pelobates cultripes (western spadefoot toad) is the source of this 134-nucleotide non-coding RNA. The record is from the annotation of a GenBank genome assembly. NCBI's taxonomy places the organism in Eukaryota, Metazoa, Chordata, Amphibia, Anura, Pelobatidae.